AUUUGCGAGUCACAUCACAAUGUUUCGGGUGGCUGCGACAAGCACAGGAAAACGACUGUACAGAGACGAGAGAUCUGCCAAUUGCACGCACGGUCGGAUACAGUCAGUCUUCGAUGCAAAGAAGAGGAGCUAUGUACAAGCUGCAGGUUUUUGACGCGGACGCACGCACACACAAUUGCACAAAGCCAUGCAAGCCUUGCGGAGACCGAGAACAAAUACCAUUACACUGUUACACGCUCAUGGCCAGAACUUGCAGCACACGGGCCCGCUGCCGCCGUGGCGCCGCUUCUUGCCGCUGCCGCCCUUCCGCUUGGGCACGGUCACCGUGAGCACCCCGUCCGCCAUGGCCGCGCGCGCCUCGUCCGCGGCCGCGUCGUCCGGAACCCGGAACUGCGUCUCGAACGCGCGCGCGCCGGCCCUCUCCCUGCAGUGCCACCUCACGCUCGCGUCGCCGCCUCCGUCGCCGCCCCCCUCCUCUUCCUCGUGGCCCGCCGCCGCGCCGUCGCCGUCCUGCUUGCCACCGCCGCCGCGGACGCGGAGGACGCGGCCGUCCACCAGCUCCACGGCCACCUGCUCCCUGGCCAGCCCCGGGACGUCCAUCCUGAACACGUGCGCGUCCCGCGUCUCCUUCCAGUCCGUGGGCGGCCGCGCGCCCCCGGCGGCGUCGGGGAAGAACCUGUCGAGCAUCAUGCGAGACAGCGCCAGCGACAUGCUAGUUUCUUCGUCUUCUCUCGCCGGGGUCUGUUGCCCUGUUGGAUUGACGACGGACAAGUGUAGGGAGCUCGGCUAACAAGUUGCUUACUCCUCUGCCAGUCUGCCUCGUCAAAUUUACAGAGCGCUUGCUUUAUACUCCUACUAGGCGCCAGCGCGGUAGCGGGAAUGCGCGAGAAAGAUGCAGAACGCGCGCACAGUCAGGCUUCUCAUCCUGCGCUGGUUCGUCUGGUUGUCUCUAGAGCGUAGUAGUGCAAGUCGCCACAGGGCACAACCCGCCUGCGCCUGCGAGUUCGAGCUCCUUCGGGAAGCAUCUCAUCUCAUUUUCAGAUGAGUGCAGUGCCUGACGAGGGCUCCCAGCGCUGUCGAUACCGUUCCAGUUCGGCGCAGGGACCAGGAGUGUGGGCUCUGCCUGGAAGUGAAAAAUAUCGAUUGGAUGUUGGAUGAUCUCAAAUCUCAAUUGUCCAUGAACCUCUUAUUUAUAUAGAUGGGGUGGUCUUAUCCUAAUCAAAACCAACUCCAAAUCGUAAUCUCCAAGUUUUCUACGGUCAAAAUGGCUUCGAUUUGGAAAGCAAUUAGCUCAAAAUAGGACGGGGAUACUGGCCUCCCCAGGUCCCAAACUUGCCUGGCCGGUUUUGAUGAGGGCUGAGCAGCCACAUAGGAAGGCAAACUAGCUAUUGAGCAAAUGACAAAAGAGAAAAUCACGAUUCAUGAGAACGCUAAUGAGCGUUUAGGGUAAACGUUCAAUAGCAAGAGGUCUAUAUAUACAAAGAUAGCCAUAAUAAUUUUGUGUUAUCAUUAAACACCAA
This 1520-nucleotide unclassified non-coding RNA is filed under the name Zea mays. RNAcentral's name for it is "misc RNA Zm00001eb252450". Lineage: Eukaryota; Viridiplantae; Streptophyta; Magnoliopsida; Poales; Poaceae. The record is from RNAcentral.